This 253-nucleotide ribosomal RNA is filed under the name uncultured bacterium. Its description in RNAcentral is "partial 16S ribosomal RNA". It matches the Rfam family "Bacterial small subunit ribosomal RNA", at positions 524 to 776 of the family's 1533-position model. The record is from RNAcentral.
UACAGAGGGGGCAAGCGUUAUUCGGAAUUAUUGGGCGUAAAGGGCGCGUAGGCGGCUUGGCAAGUGGAUGGUGAAAUCCCUCGGCUUAACCGAGGAACUGCCGUCCAAACUGCUUCGCUUGAGACCGGGAGAGGUGAGUGGAAUUCCCAGUGUAGAGGUGAAAUUCGUAGAUAUUCGGAAGAACACCAGUGGCGAAGGCGGCUCACUGGUCCGGUACUGACGCUGAGGUGCGAAAGCGUGGGGAGCAAACAGG